RNAcentral lists this ribosomal RNA (466 nucleotides) under uncultured bacterium. RNAcentral's name for it is "partial 16S ribosomal RNA". It matches the Rfam family "Bacterial small subunit ribosomal RNA", at positions 28 to 507 of the family's 1533-position model. The record is from RNAcentral.
GACGAACGCUGGCGGCGCGCCUAACACAUGCAAGUCGAACGAGCGAGAGGAGGUUUACUUUCUCAAGCGAGUGGCGAACGGGUGAGUAACGCGUGAGGAACCUGCCUCAAAGAGGGGGACAACAGUUGGAAACGACUGCUAAUACCGCAUAAGCCCACGACCCGGCAUCGAGUAGAGGGAAAAGGAGCAAUCCGCUUUGAGAUGGCCUCGCGUCCGAUUAGCUAGUUGGUGAGGUAAUGGCCCACCAAGGCGACGAUCGGUAGCCGGACUGAGAGGUUGAACGGCCACAUUGGGACUGAGACACGGCCCAGACUCCUACGGGAGGCAGCAGUGGGGAAUAUUGCACAAUGGGGGAAACCCUGAUGCAGCGACGCCGCGUGGAGGAAGAAGGUCUUCGGAUUGUAAACUCCUGUUGUUGAGGAAGAUAAUGACGGUACUCAACAAGGAAGAGACGGCUAACUACGUG